AGGCGGCCCUCCAGAGUGACAGGCAAGCUGCAGGCAGGCGGCCCUCCAGAGUGACAGGCAAGGUGCAGGCAGGCGGCCCUCCAGAGUGACAGGCAAGGUGCAGGCAGGCGGCCCUCCAGAGUGACAGGCAAGGUGCAGGCAGGCGGCCCUCCAGAGUGACAGGCAAGGUGCAGACAGGCGGCCCUCCAGAGUGACAGGCAAGGUGCAGACAGGCGGCCCUCCAGAGUGACAGGCAAGGUGCAGGCAGGCGGCCCUCCAGAGUGACAGGCAAGGUGCAGGCAGGCGGCCCUCCAGAGUGACAGGCAAGGUGCAGACAGGCGGCCCUCCAGAGUGACAGGCAAGGUGCAGGCAGGCGGCCCUCCAGAGUGACAGGCAAGGUGCAGGCAGGCGGCCCUCCAGAGUGACAGGCAAGGUGCAGACAGGCGGCCCUCCAGAGUGACAGGCAAGGUGCAGGCAGGCGGCCCUCCAGAGUGACAGGCAAGGUGCAGGCAGGCGGCCCUCCAGAGUGACAGGCAAGGUGCAGGCAGGCGGCCCUCCAGAGUGACAGGCAAGGUGCAGGCAGGCGGCCCUCCAGAGUGACAGGCAAGGUGCAGGCAGGCGGCCCUCCAGAGUGACAGGCAAGGUGCAGGCAGGCGGCCCUCCAGAGUGACAGGCAAGGUGCAGACAGGCGGCCCUCCAGAGUGACAGGCAAGGUGCCUCCGCUGCAUACAGACCUAUUAUCCUGGUUUCUCUGGACACCAGAGGAGUUAGAAGAUAUCCCUAGUUGAUAUUGGCUGCUAACAUGAAUGACUUUCAUCUUAAAAUGCUGGUUUAAAACGCAGUUUAUUUCUGCGUCUUGCACUUUGAAAAAUGAAUCUCUGUUUAUGGCUGUAAUGACAGGCUACAUUUGCGCAGCGUAAGAGCGUGCGGGCGGGUCGCAAGCUUUGAUCCAUAUUAAAAUGAAUUUUUACAUAAUAAAAAUAUUUAGUGGACAAAAUAAUGAAAAGGGCUGUCUGGUAGCCUCAAUCAAUAGACAAAAUAUUGUAGUUGAACAAGUCAUUGUGUGUGUGUAUGUAUGUAUGUAUAUAUAUAUAUAAUAUAUAUAUUUUACUUGACUUGAACAAACUUGACUCAACAUGCACUUAGAAUGCAGAGACGAACUGUUCUACUCCAGACUUUGCUUGUGACUUGGUUGGGGCAAUUCCAUUUCAAUUCCAGUCAAUUCAGUAAGUACACGAAAAUUCCAAUUAUUUUCAAUGGGGAACAUUUGGAAUAUGGUUUACUUUCUGAAUUGGAAUGCAGCUCUUAUGGAAUGCAGCUCUUAUGGAAUGCAGCUCUUAUGGAAU
Molecule: long non-coding RNA, 1325 nt
Organism: Oncorhynchus keta (chum salmon)
Lineage: Eukaryota; Metazoa; Chordata; Actinopteri; Salmoniformes; Salmonidae
Exons: 4
Source: RefSeq, a predicted model, not a curated record